Molecule: ribosomal RNA, 62 nt
Filed under: uncultured organism
Description: partial 16S ribosomal RNA
Source: RNAcentral
UACCCUUGACAUGUACGGAAUUUUACUGAGAAGUAGGAGUGCCUGAAAGGGAACCGUAACAC